RNAcentral lists this ribosomal RNA (468 nucleotides) under uncultured bacterium. Its description in RNAcentral is "partial 16S ribosomal RNA". It matches the Rfam family "Bacterial small subunit ribosomal RNA", at positions 28 to 507 of the family's 1533-position model. The record is from RNAcentral.
GACGAACGCUGGCGGCGUGCUUAACACAUGCAAGUCGAACGGAAAGGCCCUGCUUUUGUGGGGUGCUCGAGUGGCGACCGGGUGAGUAACACGUGAGUAACCUGCCCUUGACUUUGGGAUAACUUCAGGAAACUGGGGCUAAUACCGGCUAGGAGCUCCUGCUGCAUGGUGGGGGUUGGAAAGUUUCGGCGGUUGGGGAUGGACUCGCGGCUUAUCAGCUUGUUGGUGGGGUAGUGGCUUACCAAGGCUUUGACGGGUAGCCGGCCUGAGAGGGUGACCGGCCACAUUGGGACUGAGGUACGGCCCAGACUCCUACGGGAGGCAGCAGUGGGGAAUAUUGCACAAUGGGCGGAAGCCUGAUGCAGCAACGCCGCGUGCGGGAUGACGGCCUUCGGGUUGUAAACCGCUUUCGCCUGUGACGAAGCGUGAGUGACGGUAAUGGGUAAAGAAGCACCGGCUAACUACGUG